ACUAACUGCUGUCAUCUCCCAGAGUGAAGAAUCCAUCAGAUGCCCGUGGACUUAGGACCACUGCAGUCAGUAAUGGGACCUUAUGGCAGAGACAGCUGGAAGAGCAAAGCCACGCACCUGGAGGCAAAAUGA
RNAcentral lists this long non-coding RNA (132 nucleotides) under Ictidomys tridecemlineatus (thirteen-lined ground squirrel). RNAcentral describes it as "lncRNA (ENSSTOG00000030139.1)". The record is from RNAcentral. Lineage: Eukaryota; Metazoa; Chordata; Mammalia; Rodentia; Sciuridae.